This 484-nucleotide ribosomal RNA is filed under the name uncultured bacterium. Its description in RNAcentral is "partial 16S ribosomal RNA". It matches the Rfam family "Bacterial small subunit ribosomal RNA", at positions 29 to 507 of the family's 1533-position model. The record is from RNAcentral.
AUUGAACGCUGGCGGCAUGCUUUACACGUGCAAGUCGAACGGCAGCGCGGGCUUCGGCCUGGCGGCGAGUGGCGAACGGGUGAGUAAUACAUCGGAACGUGCCCAGUAGUGGGGGAUAGCUCGGCGAAAGCCGGAUUAAUACCGCAUACGACCUGAGGGUGAAAGCGGGGGAUCUUCGGACCUCGCGCUACUGGAGCGGCCGAUGGCAGAUUAGCUAGUUGGUGGGGUAAAGGCCUACCAAGGCGACGAUCUGUAGCUGGUCUGAGAGGACGACCAGCCACACUGGGACUGAGACACGGCCCAGACUCCUACGGGAGGCAGCAGUGGGGAAUUUUGGACAAUGGGCGAAAGCCUGAUCCAGCAAUGCCGCGUGUGUGAUGAAGGCCUUCGGGUUGUAAAGCACUUUUGGCGGGAACGAAAAGGACUGUGCCAAUACCACGGUUCGAUGACGGUACCCGCAGAAUAAGCACCGGCUAACUACGUG